RNAcentral lists this unclassified non-coding RNA (413 nucleotides) under Hevea brasiliensis (rubber tree). Lineage: Eukaryota; Viridiplantae; Streptophyta; Magnoliopsida; Malpighiales; Euphorbiaceae. The record is from RNAcentral.
UAAUUUAGACUGAACUAAACAUAAGAGCUAAUUUUCAGGUUCUGGUACUGCUAGUAUAAUUACAUAAAUUUUCCAAAAUAAAAAAUUAAUGAAAAGCCCAAUUAGCUCGUUACCUAUCCGAAAUUGGAACUUAAGGUGAAGUUAGCACAGGUGGUCCGUUUGAGCAGAACGGAGGAGCUAAAUCCUAACAUCUUCGACUCCAAAUCAAACUGCAGUAAAUUAUCCUCCAUCUGAUGCCCACCAAUCACUAUAGACGUCCUCGCAUUGAUCCCACCAUCCACAAAUCCCAGGCACCACGCGUCCAGGCCGUCCCUCUCAAUCCUCACCAUCGAAUUCGAUCCAAAUAUCCUCCAAAACACAUCUUCGCUUUCCAUCAGCAGAUCAACCGUCGGGACACCCGGUCCCACAAGCGU